CUAUUUGUCUGUAAAGUAAUGUCUUAGAAUAAUUUUAUUUCUUCACUGUCACAAUAAAAUUAGAAAAAUACGUCUGAGACUGAGUUUAAUGCAAGUUUUGUUUUUUAAUUCAGAUUAAACAGGAAAAUGAUUAAAUGUAUUUACAGAUUUUUAUAUAUAACCUUUUGUCCUUUUAAACCAACUAUAUACAAUUUUAUAACAACUCUUAAUGUGAUGAAACAAAAAAAAAAAGCUUUAUUGAAGGAGGAUAUUCCUAAUUGACACAUGUCUUCAUCACCAGGACCCCUCCGCUGGAGCGGAGGAUGAGCUGGACGACUAUGCCAAGGAUUCCACGGCCGGACCAUCAACAGGAGGACCCCUCUGCUGGAGCGGAGGAUGACCCAGAUGACGACCCAAAGGAUACCACGGCCGAACCAUCAACAGGAGGACCCCUCUGUUUUAGCGGAGGAUGACCCGGAUGACAACGCCAAGGAUACCACGGCCGGACCAUCAACUGGAGGUAUUAAUCUGUGAAGUAAUGUGUCCUGGAAUAAUUUUAUUUUUUCAUUAGCUAAAAUAAAAUGGAAAAG
Long non-coding RNA from Aplysia californica (California sea hare), 569 nucleotides. RefSeq lists it as uncharacterized. Lineage: Eukaryota; Metazoa; Mollusca; Gastropoda; Aplysiida; Aplysiidae. The transcript is spliced from 3 exons. The record is from RefSeq and is a predicted model, not a curated record.